Molecule: long non-coding RNA, 5892 nt
Organism: Hypanus sabinus (Atlantic stingray)
Lineage: Eukaryota; Metazoa; Chordata; Chondrichthyes; Myliobatiformes; Dasyatidae
Exons: 3
Source: RefSeq, a predicted model, not a curated record
UUCCAGUUGUCUGGAAUCAUGGAUUUGGAACCAAAUUCAGAGCUUGCUGAAUGUGUAAAACCUGAAAAUAAUUUUAGAACAUUUUCAAUUUGCUGGGAUUAGUAACGUUGCCUUCUGAAACUCAUAAUAAUAGCUAGUUGCUGCUUAAUACUGAUCUGUAUAACCUAACUUACACCUUGACAAGCAAGAAAGUUUUAUGUUGGUAUUUUAUGAAAAUAAUUUAAAGAAGCUGUAUUCUUAAUUUUAGUGGUAGCAUUUUCACUGUUUAUUUAAUCCCUAUUCUCUCAAUAUCUUACAAGCAGCAAAUUUAACUGUUAAGUUGCAGUUGAUUUUCAUAAUAGCAACCGAGCACAACAGGCUACCUAAACUCCAACACGCAUCAUACCGCAGAGAUUUCAAGUGCAAUUAUAACAUAAGAUGUAUGAGUAUUAAAGUGCUGUAUAUCAAAGAUUCAAAGUCCAUUCAUUAUCAAAGUAUAUAUGCAAUAUACAGCCUUGAGAUUCGUUGUGCUAUCAGCUUGUACCAUUCAAAAUUUGAAUAGCACAUUCAGGUAUUGGGAAAGAAGCCCAAUCGAGACCAAAUUUUGUUUAAGGAAAAUAAGGGAUAAAUAAUACUGGAAGAUAAUUCUAUUGUAGGGAGUAAAUUCUUUAAUUUCAGGAAUGUUUAUUCUAUCCGCACUCUGUAACUCAUUCUAUGAUGUCCUCCCUCCAAAUAUCUAGUUCAUCUCAAGUUUUCUCAAGAACUGCCUCAAAAUCAGAAAGGAAUCCAGUUUUCUUUCAAUAAAAAAUUUAACCUAGGUAAAUCAAUGUUGGGUACAUUAAUUAGACCAACAAAUGUAAUAACUGGUCAGAGGAAACAAUAAUGAAUAGUUAGGUUUCACAAUGUAUUGUCUACAAAUCAUUUCAGAUUCAUGACCACAAACAGAAGUUGAUGUCGAAAGAAAAUUAGGCAUUGUGAUCCAUUAAGAAAGUCAUUCCAUGUACAAACUUUGUAAGACAAACAACUCUGUCUGAAAGACUCAUGAUCAAAUGUGCUUUCCAGAGAAGAACUUCUCCAUGAAGGACAGGUAAUAUGGCAAGGUCUAGCCGAAUGGAACACUGCACAGCAACAAUACCAGGCCCAUCCUCUGCAAUACUGGGGACAGAGAAACAAGAGGAUGAUGAUGCUGGAGACCACAGCAAAAAGAAAACAAACUGAUCGAGCAACUCUAUGGAUAAGGGAGCAUCUGUGGAGACGGUCAGCAACCUGGACUGAAAGAGUGGAGGGGAAAUGGCCGGUAGAAAGAGAAGCAUGGUGACCCUUGCAGGCUGCUCCUAACACAUUCACAGCCUGUGUUAGCUGGUGAAACAAAACAAUGCAUUUCAUCACUGUAUGUUUCAACGUAUAAGUGACAAAUAAAGGUAAUUUUUUUUCAUUAAUCAAUUUGCACUAGCAUUGCAAGUUUUAAUUUGUUCUGUAAGGUAGGUGUAAUUUAUAAUAAUUUAAGUUCCUGUUAGCAUAUGUCAUAUUUAUAACAUACUGUGUUGCUGCAAAAAAAAAAUUAUUUUCAUGGUAUUUAUAAUUCCAUGUAUGCAUAUAACAAUAAAACUGAACUUGACAGUUUUUAAUAGAUAUUUCAGUUGCUGCUGUAGUCACCAUAAAAAUUUAGACAGUAUAGUUGGAAGAAUAGUGCUUCAAUGUUCAAUUUUCAAACCAUAACCAACGACACUAAAAAGGUUAUCAGCCAACAUUAUAUUGUCGUUUGUUGUAUGCUGCAGAACACAAAUUGGCUGCUCUUCUGCAGCAGUGACCACAAUUCAAAAGUACUUUGUGAUGUAGUUUAAUUGUUCAAAGAAUAUGAACGACGCCAUAAGCUUUUUAAAAAAUUAACAAAAAUUUCUUUUGUUCUGAACUUUAAAAGCAGCAGCUGUUAUUGUUUACAAAGCUGAGAGAUGAUGGACAAUUUUGACUAAUUACAAAUCAACUGUAAGUAUGGACUUUCACCUUUUGUGGCUAUAUGAAAUUCAGAAUGCUUUUCAACUAACAUUUAGCUCCUAAAAAUGCUCAAACUAGUAAAGUUCGCAGAUAGUCUUUAGAUUUUGUGAGAUAAUGCUUCGAAUUCAAAGUUCAAAGUAAAUUUAUUAUCAAAGUAUAUAUAUGUGACAGUAUAUAUGUAUACAAAAAGGGUCAACCAAAAGUCUUGGAUGACUACCAUCGAGUGGCCCUGACCUCACAUAUCAUGAAGACCCUAGAGAAGUUGGUCCUUGCUCACCUCCAAUGCCUGGUCAGAUCAGCCCUUGAUCCCUGCAGUUAGGCUAGCAGGAGCACAUUGGAGUCAACAAUGCUGUUAUCUACCUGCUGAACAGAGCCUACUCCCAUUUGGAUAAGUAGGGCAGCACCGUAAGGAUCAUGUUCUUUGAUUUCUCGAGUGCCUUCAAUACCAUACAGCCCUCAUUGCAGAGGGGAAAGCUCCAUUCAAUGCAGAUUGACAUUUCAAUUAUUUUGUGGAUAAUGGAUUGACUGGCAGGCCAGCUUGUGCGGCUUCAGAGUUGUGCAGCUUAUAGCCAUGCCUGCCACACUGGGGUCCCAAAGGGAACUGUAUUGGCUCCUUUUCUGUUUACCCUGUAUUCCUCGGACUUCAGAUACGACAAUGAGUCAUUUCAUCUGCAGAAAUUCUCUGCAACACACACAAAAUGCUGGAGGAACUCAGCAGGCCAGGCAGCAUCUAUGAGUAAAAAAAGAGUACAGUCGAUGUUUCAGGCCAAGACCCUUCAGGACCCUGGUAGAAUAUGUGAAGGCCCUUCUAUGCAGUGGUGUGCUGGGGCAAUGGCAUGAACACAGGUGAUGUCAACAGACUCAAUAAAAUGAUUAGAAGGGGGCUCUGAUAUAGGAGUAAAACUGGACACACUGGAGGUUGUGGUAGAAAAAAAAGGACCCUAUGGAAAAUCCCAGCAACCCUGGACACUGUUUCUCACCCUCAGCAUGCCAACUUGGCUGAACAAAGAAGCACUUUUAGUAAUAGACCAAGAUAACUACACUGCUCCUAAGAUCACAAUAUGAGAUGAGAUUAUUCUUACCCUCAGCCAUUAGGCCCUAUAAUGAAUCAACCUAUAGCCAUGGAAGUGAUGACCUUCUCCUGUUAGAUUGUUUGAGGUAACUUAUCUUUUAUUCUUUCUACUUCUCUUGUAAUAUUUAUAUCUGUACACUUGUAAUGCUACUGUGACACUGAUUUCCUUUGGGAUCAAUAAAGUACAUAUCUAUCUAUACAACCCUGAAAUUCAUUUUCUUGCAGGCAUGCUCAAUAAAUCCAAUAAUCAUAAUAGAAAUUAAUGAAUGACCAUACCAACUGGGAUACACCAGUUCAAAAGACAACAAACAAACUGUGCAAAUACAAAAAGAAGUAAGGAAUAAUAAUAAAUAAGCAAUAAAUAUCGCAAACAUGAGAUUAAGAGAGCGAGUCCAUAGGUUGUCAGAACAUUUCAAAGAUGGGGCAAAUGAAGUUGAAUAAAGUUACCCCCUUGGGUUCAAGAGCCUGAUGGUUGAGGGGUAAUAACUGUUCCUGAAAAUGGUGGUGUGAGUCCUGAGGCUCCUGUAUCUUCAACCUGAUAGAAGCAGUGAGAAGAGAGCACGACCUGGGUGUUGUGGGUCUCUGAUGAUGGAUGCUGCUUUCCUGCAACAACGCUCUGUGUAGAUGUACUCAAUGGUGGGGACAGCUUUACCUGAGAUAGACCAGGCCAUAUCCAUUACUUUUUGUAGGAUUUCCCAUUAAAGGGCAUUGGUAUUUCCAUAUUAGGCUGCGAUGCCACCAGCCAAUAUACUCUCCACCACACAUUUACAAAAGUGAGUCAAAGUUUUAGCUGUCAUGCCGAAUCUUCGCAGACUCCUAAGGAAGUGGAGACACUGUCAUGCUUUAUUCAUAAUUGCGCUCACCCAGGACAUGUCCUCCAAAAUGGUAACACCGAGAAACUUAAAGUUGAUGACCCUUUCCACUUCUGAUCCCCAGAUGAAGACUGCCUCAUGAACCUCUGGUUUCCUCCUACUGAUGUCAAUAAUUAACUCCCCGGUCUUGCUAACAUUGAAUAAGAGGUUGUUGUUGUGACACCACUCAGCCAGAUGUUCCAUCUCCCUCCCAUAUGCUGAUUCAUCGGUGUUAAAGAGUGAUUUUUGGCUUUAGGUAAUUUACAUUUAGCAAAUGGCUUUGGCCACCAGAAUUCUGUUCCUUGACAAUGUAUUAUCGAUUCAUUUUGUAACAAUGCAUUUCCUAAAAGCUGUGAAUCCCAGUCCAGAGACGAUGUUGCCAUCUGUGGGUUGGAUGUGAACCAGAAGGUGUGAAGUUUGCGCACAGUGUCAAAGACAGCAUUAUCUAUACUUUGUAAAUAUGGAAUUGUCCUUUAUGUUUAGCAUGUAAAAUACCAAAUAAAUGUGUAGUGGAUUCAGUUUGGAACAAUGGAUUCCUAAAAGCCCAGUCCAGACACAGCUGGCGCCUGUGGGAUGGAUGCGUAUCAGAAGGUGUGAAGUUUGUAUGUAGCUUCAAAAGAAAGCAUUGUCUAUACUUGUAAAUAUGGAAUUGUCCUUUGUUUUUAGCAAAUAAACAUUGGGCCGGCAGACCUUUCCACUGAAGGCGUCUCCGUAUGAUGCCUGUUGUACCUUGUUUUGUAGAAUAAAGAAGCUACUUUGUAUCUACCAGUAACUCUCUCCAAUGAUUUCAUUCAAGCAACAACAGUCAGCACUAUUACAGUGGUUCCAUCAGAAAACUUGAAUCAGUGCACUUAGCCACACAGUCAUACGUGUAAACCAAGUAACAGAGGGCGUUAAGCACAUGGCCUUGUGGUGCAUCUGUGCCGAUGGAGAUAGUGGAUGAGAUAUUGCUGCCAAUCCAAAGCGAUUGGUGUUGUACAAGUGAGGAAAUCGAAGAUCCAAUUGCACAAGGUCUUGAAGCUUAUGAUUAAUUCUGAGGGGAAUAAUAAUAUUGAAUGCCGAGCUGUUGUCGAUAAAGAGCAUCCUGAUAUAUGCAUAAUUGCUGAACAGAUGUUUCAGAAUUGAGUGAAGUGCCAAUGAGACAGCACAUGCUGUGGACCUGUUGAGUUGGUAGGCAAAUGGGAGCAGAUACAAGGUGCUUCUCAGAUAGGAGUUGAUAUGUUUCAUCACCAGACUCCCAAAACAUUUUAUCACUGAGAUGCAAGUGUUACUGGAGGAUAAACAUUGAGGCAGGUUACCACCUUCUUCUUAGGCAUCAGUACAAAUGAAGCAGGUGGGUACCUCAGAUUGGCGAAGUGCGAGGUUAAAGAUCUCAGUGAACACUGCAGCCAUGUGGUCAGCCCAGGUCUUUAAUACUUGGCCAGGCAUCCCAUCUGAGCUGGAUGCCUUCCACUGGUCACUCUCCUGUCACUCGCAUGACAGCCUUAGAGACUGAAAUCAUAGGAUUAUCGGGGGCGGGGGGUGGUGGGAGUUCAAAAUGGUUCCUCUAUGUUUUGACAGUCAAAGUAAGCAUAGACGGUGUUGAGCUCAUCUGGAAGCGAAGCCUAUGUCAUUAGUUUUUAAUUUAUAAGAGUAUAGUUAGAAACUAAAGUCUUAAUGUAUGAAAUAAUCUCUUAAUCUCUUGGGUAACACCCUUAAAAUGGAAACCUUUAAGUUAAAAUAUAUAUUAAGCUGUGUACAAACAUGAACUUCUGAUAUUCUGUAAACUACUGUAAUAGGAUGUCCUAAAGUAAAUAGAGAUCAUGCUUAAAUAAAUACAGUUUUACAAACUAAGUAACAGCAUUCUUGCGGGUUUAAGUACAUUAAACGUUUUGAUGCCGAUUUUGUAUAGAAUGGCUGAAUCUAGCUGAUGGCCUUACAGAGUAUAUUGCCCAACAAAGAAUUUAGAAAAUACAAGAUAAUUGUGUUCCUGAUACAAGUACAGAGACAGGAUUA